Long non-coding RNA from Branchiostoma floridae (Florida lancelet), 690 nucleotides. RefSeq lists it as uncharacterized. The transcript has 2 exons. The record is from RefSeq and is a predicted model, not a curated record. Lineage: Eukaryota; Metazoa; Chordata; Leptocardii; Amphioxiformes; Branchiostomatidae.
UGAAAAGGAAGGAAAAUGUUGUUUUUCCUGUUUCAAUCCUGAAAAAAAUUAGGGUUGGUAGGAGGGAUUAUUAUUUGUUUGCCCAAGCUAUAGUGAUACAAUACAGUUGAACAAAGUGAACUGAAAUGCAUGAGAGCACUUGUCUUUCAACACCAAACUCUAAUUUUGUACAUAAUGGACACAUUUCUCCUUCAUAAGAUAGGACAAGCAGGGUUUUUACUUCAAUAGGAAGAAGGCUGAAUAAAAAUUCCAACUGGAAACUAUGUGACUUGAAGAAAGUAAUAACUUAUAAGUGGGGCAACCUGAAAUGUGGAUGGCACAACUUGGCUGUUGACUCAGGCAACCUGACUGAAAAAUGUAUUUGAACACUGAAUCCAGCUUAUUAGCCAGGAAUGAAGCUUAACACCUACAGAAACAGUGUGAGGUAGCCUCAGCUGGGGCAGUAUCGUUACCCCUGCAAUGCAGAAGCCUCUCACACACAGCCUGGACUGUUCCUGUGUGGAGCAGAGUUUGGUAUAAAAAUACAGGCGACAUUUGGACUGUAUUAGUCUGGUCUGGUCCCAGAUGAAAGUGAGAAUGUGGGGUGUUGUUGACUGUGGAGCCAGGGCACGUAAGGCCACGUAAACCUGAUUGUGUAGGCUACUGCAGUGGGAUUGUAGGUUUCAGGAUCUGUGUAGAAAGAGAGAGAGA